CUGGCUCAGGAUGAACGCGUAGCGACAGGCUUAACACAUGCAAGUCGAGGGGCAGCACGGGAGUAGCAAUACGUUGGUGGCGACCGGCGCACGGGUGAGUAACGCGUAUGCAACCUACCUAUCAGAGGGGAAUAACCCGGCGAAAGUCGGACUAAUACCGCAUAAAACAGGGGCACCGCAUGGUGAUAUUUGUUAAAGAAAUUCGCUGAUAGAUGGGCAUGCGUUCCAUUAGGUAGUUGGUGAGGUAACGGCUCACCAAGCCGACGAUGGAUAGGGGAACUGAGAGGUUGGUCCCCCACACUGGUACUGAGACACGGACCAGACUCCUACGGGAGGCAGCAGUGAGGAAUAUUGGUCAAUGGGCGGGAGCCUGAACCAGCCAAGUCGCGUGAAGGAAGAAGGAUCUAUGGUUCGUAAACUUCUUUGCAGGGGAAUAAAGUGCAGGACGUGUCCUGUUUUGUAUGUACCCUGAGAAUAAGGAUCGGCUAACUCCGUGCCAGCCGCCGC
RNAcentral lists this ribosomal RNA (507 nucleotides) under uncultured bacterium. RNAcentral describes it as "bacterial SSU rRNA". It matches the Rfam family "Bacterial small subunit ribosomal RNA", at positions 19 to 518 of the family's 1533-position model. The record is from RNAcentral.